AGAGUUUGAUCGUGGCUCAGAACGAACGCUGGCGGCGUGCUUAACACAUGCAAGUCGAACGCGAAAGGGACUUCGGUCCUGAGUAAAGUGGCGCACGGGUGAGUAACGCGUGGAUAAUCUGCCCGAUGAUCUGGGAUAACAUCUCGAAAGGGGUGCUAAUACCGGAUAAGACCACGGAGUCUCUGGAUUCCGCGGUAAAAGGUGGGGACCUUCGGGCCUACCGUCAUUGGAUGAGUCCGCGUACCAUUAGCUAGUUGGUAGGGUAAUGGCCUACCAAGGCGACGAUGGUUAGCUGGUCUGAGAGGAUGAUCAGCCACACUGGAACUGAGACACGGUCCAGACUCCUACGGGAGGCAGCAGUGGGGAAUUUUGCGCAAUGGGGGAAACCCUGACGCAGCAACGCCGCGUGAGUGAUGAAGGCCUUCGGGUCGUAAAGCUCUGUCAGAGGGGAAGAAAUGUAGUGGUGCUAAUAUCGCCAUUACUUGACGGUACCCUCAAAGGAAGCACCGGCUAACUCCGUGCCAGCAGCCGCGGUAAUACGGAGGGUGCGAGCGUUGUUCGGAAUUAUUGGGCGUAAAGCGCGUGUAGGCGGUUUGAUAAGUCUGAUGUGAAAGCCCCGGGCUCAACCUGGGAAGUGCAUUGGAAACUGUCAGACUUGAAUACGGGAGAGGGUAGUGGAAUUCCUAGUGUAGGAGUGAAAUCCGUAGAUAUUAGGAGGAACACCGGUGGCGAAGGCGGCUACCUGGACCGAUAUUGACGCUGAGACGCGAAAGCGUGGGGAGCAAACAGGAUUAGAUACCCUGGUAGUCCACGCCGUAAACGAUGAGUACUAGGUGUUGCGGGUAUUGACCCCUGCAGUGCCGCAGCUAACGCAUUAAGUACUCCGCCUGGGAAGUACGGCCGCAAGGCUAAACUCAAAGGAAUUGACGG
RNAcentral lists this ribosomal RNA (930 nucleotides) under uncultured bacterium. RNAcentral's name for it is "bacterial SSU rRNA". It matches the Rfam family "Bacterial small subunit ribosomal RNA", at positions 8 to 916 of the family's 1533-position model. The record is from RNAcentral.